AUGAAGACGAGUUUUCUAUGAGAUAACAUUUGAGAAAAACAAUAAAUUUUUUUUUGGUUACGGAAAAACAAUAAUUUACUACAGGUAAAAAUUGCUUAAUUACAAGGAAGGUAGUUCUUUUUUUUUUUUUGACAAACAAGGAAGGUAGUUCUAAAUUCUGAACAAUGUAGAAGUGCAGCAUUCAUCCAAAUACACCGGUGGGGGGUGAAAAGGUGUGAGAGAACUGUGUAUAAUGGCAUUAAAAAAAAGAAAAAGAACUGUGGAUAAUCGCAAUACGGUGAAAUAUUAGAAGCAAUAAAUUGUGUUGCCACUUGGAGUUGAAAAGUUAUAUAUAGGUAGACGUCUCAUUACCAUUUGAUUCAUAAUCAUAUCUUAAAAAAGUAUUAUAUAUAUAUAAUAAAAUAUUUCCAAUGAGACAGGUAGAAUGUUGGCCAAAUAAAGAAAUAGAUUAGUAGCUAAAAGGAUGUCGUGAUUUACUACAGAAAAUUUUCGGUUAAUAUAUGCAGCUUGUCAACCCG
RNAcentral lists this long non-coding RNA (518 nucleotides) under Trifolium pratense (red clover). RNAcentral describes it as "long non-coding RNA (TPRA_LNC000850)". Lineage: Eukaryota; Viridiplantae; Streptophyta; Magnoliopsida; Fabales; Fabaceae. The record is from RNAcentral.